GGGUUGUGAGGUUAAGUGACUAAGCGUACACGGUGGAUGCCUAGGCAGUCAGAGGCGAUGAAGGGCGUGCUAAUCUGCGAAAAGCGUCGGUAAGGUGAUAUGAACCGUUAUAACCGGCGAUACCCGAAUGGGGAAACCCAGUGUGUUUCGACACACUAUCAUGUCAUGAAUACAUAGUGGCAUGAGGCGAACCGGGGGAACUGAAACAUCUAAGUACCCCGAGGAAAAGAAAUCAACCGAGAUUCCCCCAGUAGCGGCGAGCGAACGGGGAGGAGCCCAGAACCUGAAUCGGCUUGUGUGUUAGUGGAAGCGUCUGGAAAGUCGCGCAGCAAAGGGUGAUAGCCCCGUACACUAAAAUGCACAGGUCGUGAGUUCGAUGAGUAGGGCGGGACACGUGACAUCCUGUCUGAAUAUGGGGGGACCAUCCUCCAAGGCUAAAUACUCCUGACUGACCGAUAGUGAACCAGUACCGUGAGGGAAAGGCGAAAAGAACCCCGGCGAGGGGAGUGAAAUAGAACCUGAAACCGUGUACGUACAAGCAGUGGGAGCACCUUCGUGGUGUGACUGCGUACCUUUUGUAUAAUGGGUCAGCGACUUAUAUUUUGUAGCAAGGUUAACCGUAUAGGGGAGCCGUAGGGAAACCGAGUCUUAACUGGGCGAAUAGUUGCAAGGUAUAGACCCGAAACCCGGUGAUCUAGCCAUGGGCAGGUUGAAGGUUGGGUAACACUAACUGGAGGACCGAACCGACUAAUGUUGAAAAAUUAGCGGAUGACUUGUGGCUGGGGGUGAAAGGCCAAUCAAACCGGGAGAUAGCUGGUUCUCCCCGAAAGCUAUUUAGGUAGCGCCUCGUGAACUCAUCUUCGGGGGUAGAGCACUGUUUCGGCUAGGGGGCCAUCCCGGCUUACCAAACCGAUGCAAACUCCGAAUACCGAAGAAUGUUAUCACGGGAGACACACGGCGGGUGCUAACGUCCGUCGUGAAGAGGGAAACAACCCAGACCGCCAGCUAAGGUCCCAAAGUCAUGGUUAAGUGGGAAACGAUGUGGGAAGGCAUAGACAACCNNNNNNNNNNNNNNNNNNNNNNNNNNNNNNNNNNNNNNNNNNNNNNNNNNNNNNNNNNNNNNNNNNNNNNNNNNNNNNNNNNNNNNNNNCAUAGACAGCCAGGAUGUUGGCUUAGAAGCAGCCAUCAUUUAAAGAAAGCGUAAUAGCUCACUGGUCGAGUCGGCCUGCGCGGAAGAUGUAACGGGGCUAAACCAUGCACCGAAGCUGCGGCAGCGACGCUUAGGCGUUGUUGGGUAGGGGAGCGUUCUGUAAGCCGUUGAAGGUGGCCUGUGAGGGUUGCUGGAGGUAUCAGAAGUGCGAAUGCUGACAUAAGUAACGAUAAAGCGGGUGAAAAGCCCGCUCGCCGGAAGACCAAGGGUUCCUGUCCAACGUUAAUCGGGGCAGGGUGAGUCGACCCCUAAGGCGAGGCUGAAAAGCGUAGUCGAUGGGAAACAGGUUAAUAUUCCUGUACUUGGUGUUACUGCGAAGGGGGGACGGAGAAGGCUAGGCUAGCCGGGCGACGGUUGUCCCGGUUUAAGCGUGUAGGGGGUGUGACCUGGUAAAUCCGGUUGCAUACUAACCCUGAGGCGUGAUGACGAUGCACUACGGUGCAGAAGUAGUUGAUGCCCUGCUUCCAGGAAAAUCCUCUAAGCUCCAGGUAACAUUAAAUCGUACCCCAAACCGACACAGGUGGUCAGGUAGAGAAUACCAAGGCGCUUGAGAGAACUCGGGUGAAGGAACUAGGCAAAAUGGUGCCGUAACUUCGGGAGAAGGCACGCUGGCAUGUAGGUGAAGUCCCUUGCGGAUGGAGCUGAAGCCAGUCGAAGAUACCAGCUGGCUGCAACUGUUUAAUAAAAACACAGCACUGUGCAAACACGAAAGUGGACGUAUACGGUGUGACGCCUGCCCGGUGCUGGAAGGUUAAUUGAUGGGGUCAGCCGCAAGGCGAAGCUCUUGAUCGAAGCCCCAGUAAACGGCGGCCGUAACUAUAACGGUCCUAAGGUAGCGAAAUUCCUUGUCGGGUAAGUUCCGACCUGCACGAAUGGCGUAAUGAUGGCCAGGCUGUCUCCACCCGAGACUCAGUGAAAUUGAACUCGCUGUGAAGAUGCAGUGUACCCGCGGCAAGACGGAAAGACCCCGUGAACCUUUACUAUAGCUUGACACUGAACAUUGAGCCUUGAUGUGUAGGAUAGGUGGGAGGCUUUGAAGCGUGGACGCCAGUCUGCGUGGAGCCAUCCUUGAAAUACCACCCUUUAAUGUUUGAUGUUCUAACUCGGCCCCGUGAUCCGGGGUGAGGACAGUGUCUGGUGGGUAGUUUGACUGGGGCGGUCUCCUCCCAAAGAGUAACGGAGGAGCACGAAGGUUAGCUAAUCACGGUCGGACAUCGUGAGGUUAGUGCAAAGGCAUAAGCUAGCUUGACUGCGAGAGUGACGGCUCGAGCAGGUACGAAAGUAGGUCUUAGUGAUCCGGUGGUUCUGAAUGGAAGGGCCAUCGCUCAACGGAUAAAAGGUACUCCGGGGAUAACAGGCUGAUACCGCCCAAGAGUUCAUAUCGACGGCGGUGUUUGGCACCUCGAUGUCGGCUCAUCACAUCCUGGGGCUGAAGUAGGUCCCAAGGGUAUGGCUGUUCGCCAUUUAAAGUGGUACGCGAGCUGGGUUUAGAACGUCGUGAGACAGUUCGGUCCCUAUCUGCCGUGGGCGUUGGAAGAUUGAGAGGGGUUGCUCCUAGUACGAGAGGACCGGAGUGAACGCACCACUGGUGUUCGGGUUGUCAUGCCAAUGGCAUUGCCCGGUAGCUAAGUGCGGAAAAGAUAAGCGCUGAAAGCAUCUAAGCGCGAAACUUGCCUCAAGAUGAGUCUUCCCU
The sequence is a ribosomal RNA, 2903 nucleotides long. It matches the Rfam family "Bacterial large subunit ribosomal RNA".